This 973-nucleotide unclassified non-coding RNA is filed under the name Hevea brasiliensis (rubber tree). The record is from RNAcentral. Lineage: Eukaryota; Viridiplantae; Streptophyta; Magnoliopsida; Malpighiales; Euphorbiaceae.
CUGAAAAAUUUUAAGUACAUGAUGAAUAUGUAGACCAUGAAAGAAAAUCUGAUAUGAGGCAUCAAUUAACCAGGCAGCCUUCAACUAUUAAAAAUAAUUUUAGGAAAUUACUUAGUUGCUCAACCUGCAUCCCACCAACCCUCCUCAUCACCCACAAAAAGCUCACUCUCCUUUUGCUUCUCUUUCAUUCAACCAAAGAUGAUUUAAAGAAUCUUAUCUCUAGAUAAGAAAAAUAACACAGCAAUUGCAUACAAUCAUUUCAGUGAAGAAGAGAUGCAUCAUUUAAGGCAUAUUUACUAUGAGCAUAAAAGAAAUGUAAAGCAAAGUAGGCAACAGUUGAUGGAUGCAAUGUUGAUGAUAAUAUUAUCCUAGCUAAAGGGAAAAAAAAAGGUUGUCUUUUGUUUGUCGUAAUGGACAAAAGAAUAGAACUUGGUAAAUACACUGCAUUUGAUUGUCAGAAAGAAUCAGUGUGUUCUUUUCAUCAAGUGAAGAAGUGAUAAGAAUAUUCUUAAGUGAAUGACUCAAAAUAUGUAAUCAUUGGUUAUGAAAUGCUCAAUCUAACUGCAAAUAACUUGUCUUGGAGUCUCUAUGAAAAAUUCCCUGGUUCUCAAAGUAAUGUUUGGUUAACAACAUCAGGAUCAAAGAUUAUCAUGCAGCAGAGCAUAAUUAGCUAUUAUUCAUCAUAUCUUUCUUUAUCUUUUCCAUUUUUUUCCUUUUGGCUACUUCCUUCCCCUCUAAUCAUUGGUUAUGAAAUACUCAAUGCAAAUAACUUGUAUUGGAGUCUCUAUGAAAAAUUCCCUGGUUCUCAAAGUAAUGUUUGGUUAACAACAUCAGGAUCAAAGAUUAUCAUGCAGCAGAGCAUAAUUAGCUAUUAUUCAUCAUAUCUUUCUUUAUCUUUUCCAUUUUUUUCCUUUUGGCUACUUCCUUCCCCUCUAAUCAUUGGUUAUGAAAUACUCAAUGCAAAUAACUUGUA